This 259-nucleotide unclassified non-coding RNA is filed under the name plant metagenome. RNAcentral's name for it is "partial contains small subunit ribosomal RNA, internal transcribed spacer 1, and 5.8S ribosomal RNA". The record is from RNAcentral.
UUAAUUCCCAGUCUUAACAAUUUUUCCUUAGGUGAACCUGCGGAAGGAUCAUUAUCGAGUUAGGGUCUCCGGCCCGGCCUCCAACCCUGUGUUUAAAUACUAUGUUGCUUUGGCGGGUCCGUCCUGGGACCGCCGGGGGUCUUUGUUGACUCCCGGCCCGUGCCCGUCAAGAGCCCCCCAUUAAACCCUUGACCAAACUGUGUCGUCUGAGUUCAAACUUUAAUAGUUAAAACUCUCAACAACGGAUCUCUUGGUUCUG